UGUCCUCCAUAGGAGGUCUAUCUUGAGCAGAUUCUUUUUGGUAUUGGGUGGUGGAACUGGAGUGUGCUCCAUCCACUCCAUGCAUUGACCUGGUAUUGCAGUGCUUCCAGGACCGGUGC
Molecule: small nuclear RNA, 119 nt
Organism: Crocodylus porosus (Australian saltwater crocodile)
Lineage: Eukaryota; Metazoa; Chordata; Crocodylia; Crocodylidae
Gene: U2
Rfam family: U2 spliceosomal RNA
About the family: U2 is a small nuclear RNA (snRNA) component of the spliceosome (involved in pre-mRNA splicing). Complementary binding between U2 snRNA (in an area lying towards the 5' end but 3' to hairpin I) and the branchpoint sequence (BPS) of the intron results the bulging out of an unpaired adenosine, on the BPS, which initiates a nucleophilic attack at the intronic 5' splice site, thus starting the first of two transesterification reactions that mediate splicing.
Source: Ensembl